RNAcentral lists this ribosomal RNA (249 nucleotides) under Enterococcus faecium. RNAcentral describes it as "partial 16S ribosomal RNA". It matches the Rfam family "Bacterial small subunit ribosomal RNA", at positions 1 to 228 of the family's 1533-position model. RNAcentral also lists the same sequence under 1 other name. The record is from RNAcentral. Lineage: Bacteria; Bacillati; Bacillota; Bacilli; Lactobacillales; Enterococcaceae.
UUUUAUGAGAGUUUGAUCCUGGCUCAGGACGAACGCUGGCGGCGUGCCUAAUACAUGCAAGUCGAACGCUUCUUUUUCCACCGGAGCUUGCUCCACCGGAAAAAGAGGAGUGGCGAACGGGUGAGUAACACGUGGGUAACCUGCCCAUCAGAAGGGGAUAACACUUGGAAACAGGUGCUAAUACCGUAUAACAAUCGAAACCGCAUGGUUUUGAUUUGAAAGGCGCUUUCGGGUGUCGCUGAUGGAUGG